UGAGGAAUAUUGGUCAAUGGGCGAGAGCCUGAACCAGCCACGUCGCGUGAAGGAAGACUGACCUUACGGUUUGUAAACUUCUUUUGUAGAGGGGUAAUGGCAGAUACGUGUAUUUGCGUGAAAGUACUCUACGAAUAAGCAUCGGCUAACUCCGUGCCAGCAGCCGCGGUAAUACGGGGGAUGCGAGCGUUAUCCGGAAUUAUUGGGUUUAAAGGGUGCGCAGGUGGCUAAUCAGGUCAGUGGUGAAAAGCUAUGGCUCAACCAUGGUCUUGCCAUUGAAACCGUAUAGCUAGAGAGGAGACGAGGUAGGCGGAAUGUGUGGUGUAGCGGUGAAAUGCAUAGGUAUCACACAGAAAUCCGAUUGCGAAGGCAGCUUACCAGGCUUUAUCUGACACUUGGGCACGACAGCGUGGGGAUCAAACAGG
RNAcentral lists this ribosomal RNA (425 nucleotides) under Verrucomicrobiota bacterium. Its description in RNAcentral is "Verrucomicrobia bacterium partial 16S ribosomal RNA". It matches the Rfam family "Bacterial small subunit ribosomal RNA", at positions 355 to 776 of the family's 1533-position model. Lineage: Bacteria; Pseudomonadati; Verrucomicrobiota. The record is from RNAcentral.